AAGAAUUGCCCCGUCCUCUCGAGGAUGGGUCCUCUUCUAAACCGUGUAUACAUACCUUUGUUGCUUUGGCGGGCCGCCGUCUCGGCGUUGGCUUCGGCUGACUGUGCCCGCCAGAGGACCCCAACUCUUCUGUUUAGUAUUGUCUGAGUACUAUAUAAUAGUUA
RNAcentral lists this unclassified non-coding RNA (164 nucleotides) under uncultured Cryptosporiopsis. RNAcentral describes it as "sequence contains ITS1". Lineage: Eukaryota; Fungi; Ascomycota; Leotiomycetes; Helotiales; Dermateaceae. The record is from RNAcentral.